Molecule: ribosomal RNA, 274 nt
Filed under: uncultured bacterium
Lineage: Bacteria
Description: partial 16S ribosomal RNA
Rfam family: Archaeal small subunit ribosomal RNA
Source: RNAcentral
AAACCAGCACCUCAAGUGGUCAGGAUGAUUAUUGGGCCUAAAGCAUCCGUAGCCUGUUCUAUAAGUUUCCGGUUAAAUCCACUAGCUCAACUAGUGGGCUGCCGAAAAUACUGUAGAACUAGGGAGUGGGAGAGGUAGACGGUAUUCGGUAGGAAGGGGUAAAAUCCUUUGAUCUAUUGAGGACCACCUGUGGCGAAGGCGGUCUACCAGAACACGUUCGACGGUGAGGGAUGAAAGCUGGGGGAGCAAGCCGGAUUAGAUACCCGAGUAGUCC